GGAGAAACUUUUUGUCACUCAACGAAGUGACUUCUUCCGUCUCAGCUGACUUCAGGUUUCCCCAACCUUACAAGGACGAUGUUUGCACAAUGACUGAAACUAGCGCCACUGGUGAACAAUGGGCUGUGAGGUCAGUUUCUUGAUCAGUAAUAUACAUUUGUCAUGACCAUUGAUCAUCAACCACUGAUCAAAGAUCAUUGAUCAAUAUCCAAGAGUUAAACGACACGGAGACUCCAGCAACACUUAAAAGUAAUAAGAAACAACUUUAUUAAGUGACCAACGUGUUUCAGCUUGUGGCCUUCAUCAGGGUCAUUGUCAAAUGUGAAACAAUUUGUGUUUAAAUAAAAGUCUGGAAACAGAAAAAAAAUUCAAAUGGACCAAUCACACCUUCACAAAUAAACCAGCUGACCAAUUGAUAUUUAAUGAGGUGGUAUUGGCUAACUGGUUAAUUGGUUAGGUCACAGCCCAAAUAGAUUCUAGACUAAACCAUUAAAGAUUAAAAGGGGGAGGGGAAAAUAAAUAAAUAAAUACAUCAAUAAAAUUUCCUCACAUGUAGUAAUAAUGCUCAAAAUUACACAGAAAAAUGCAAAUAAAUUAAUAUAAAAAUAAAAAAAGAUAAAAAUUAAAAGUUAAUAUAAAUACACAAACAUUAAAAGAGGGAGACAAAGCAAAACAUCUAGUUAAAAAACAUAAAAACACAAAAGGUACAGUUCACAGAAACUCAGUAAUAAAUCCUCACUCAUAGGAUGUAAACUCGAAAACACGAAAUAUCCAGAAUGCUUCAAUUCUUUCUGAUAAAAUUAAUAUUACCACUUCUUUGACUGGGUUUAAUGGCUUCAAUGCCUAUAAAAUUAAGCUGAUUUAUAAUGUUUUUUAUUAAAAUGUCUUGCAACAGGACUAGUUAAUUAAACUUCUGUGUUCAUUAAUUCAAUCUUUCAUAGGGCAUAUUGGGGUGGAAUUAUUUGAAGUGCCUCAAUUCUAUGCUUUAUAUUAACUAAAGUGCCAUAUAAUCAUAUAGUGUAGUAUUAAGUGGACACAGCCCUGAAAAUAAAGGCAUUAAACUACGUGUCCCAGCUUUGGCAAAGUCAGGCUAUCGACCGGACCUCAUCCCACAGGCUAUACCCACCAAGUCUGUAUGGUUUACCGAAGAUACAUAAACAGGGUGCACCUUUAAGGCCAACUGUCUGUAUAAUCAACUCGGUCACCUAUAACAUCUACGUUUCUGCCUUCAA
Molecule: long non-coding RNA, 1232 nt
Organism: Astatotilapia calliptera (eastern happy)
Lineage: Eukaryota; Metazoa; Chordata; Actinopteri; Cichliformes; Cichlidae
Source: Ensembl